Molecule: long non-coding RNA, 1099 nt
Organism: Gadus macrocephalus (Pacific cod)
Lineage: Eukaryota; Metazoa; Chordata; Actinopteri; Gadiformes; Gadidae
Exons: 4
Source: RefSeq, a predicted model, not a curated record
AGGCACCCAGUGCAACUUUCGAGGCCAAAAUGAACAUUAAAUUUCUAGUUUUUUUUACACGUAGUAUAUUUCAAUAACUCCCUACCAUUACAUAUCGACAUUCAAGGAGCGAAGAUGAGACGUCGUUGUGUGGUGAGAACUGAUAGAAAAUCGUAAACAAAAACAAUGUGCACCAUGUUCUUUAUUUAUUGUAACCUACAAAAAAUAAACAGGAUUCCAGUCGGCAAGCCUCGGAGUUUUCCGAAGUUCCGAACACGUGACGUCGCUAUUUACAAGAUGGCGGAUCGAAGUUGUUCAGCGACGAUGGCGAAGCCGAAUAGAAAGCGUGGUCGACCUCGUCUUUUCACGACACCAGAGAGAAAAAAAGAAGUUUUAUAAGAUGCUUGGGCGUCGUGUGUUCUUGGGCGACACAUUUGUCGAAUGGAGGAAUUUAAGAGAGAAGCUCGGGAUGAACAGGGACAGCGAACUUGCGCGUGUGCUGUUGGACAUGUUUGUAAUUACUGAAAACUGUAUUCAAUUACAGGCAUGUAAGUACUAACGAAACAAAACUAACUAAAGAAACGAAUGUAUGGUUUAUGAACAGUUUUCAGGCGACAGGUCAGCCCACCGCCAUCAACAGUGUUCCAAGGUCGUCCAGUCCACAGGCCACAUGGCAGCCCCCGCGUUUUGACGAUGUGUCCAGUGUGAGUGGACACUCAGAAAGUGGUACAGCUUUCAUCUCCCAACCUCUCGUCAAUGACCCUGGAAAUGAAAAGGAGAGCAAUGUGCUGGAAAACACCCAGGAAGACUUGACAAUAUCAUGCAUAGAGCCAGAGCUGCAGUCUGUAGAGAGCAGGGAAGACUUGACAUUGUCAUGCAUAGAGCCAGAGCUGCAGUCUGUAGAGAGCAGGUACUAUUUCUUUCUUUUUGAAGAUGACACAAUAUCAGUAUACUAGUAUUUUACUAGUAAGUCUAACCAUAACCAUAACACAAUCUGUUUUCUUGCAGGGAAGACUUGACAUUGUCAUGCAUAGAGCCAGAGCUGCAGUCUGUAGAGAGCAGGUACUAUUUCUUUCUUUUUGAAGAUGACACAAUAUCAGUAUACUAGUAUUUUACUAGU